This 292-nucleotide ribosomal RNA is filed under the name uncultured bacterium. Its description in RNAcentral is "partial 16S ribosomal RNA". It matches the Rfam family "Bacterial small subunit ribosomal RNA", at positions 505 to 796 of the family's 1533-position model. The record is from RNAcentral.
GUGCCAGCAGCCGCGGUAAUACGAAGGGGGCUAGCGUUGCUCGGAAUCACUGGGCGUAAAGGGCGCGUAGGCGGCCAUUCAAGUCGGAGGUGAAAGCCCAGGGCUCAACCCUGGAAUUGCCUUCGAUACUGUUUGGCUAGAGACCGGAAGAGGUAAGUGGAACUGCGAGUGUAGAGGUGAAAUUCGUAGAUAUUCGCAAGAACACCAGUGGCGAAGGCGGCUUACUGGUCCGGUUCUGACGCUGAGGCGCGAAAGCGUGGGGAGCAAACAGGAUUAGAUACCCUGGUAGUCC